Molecule: ribosomal RNA, 253 nt
Filed under: uncultured bacterium
Lineage: Bacteria
Description: partial 16S ribosomal RNA
Rfam family: Bacterial small subunit ribosomal RNA
Source: RNAcentral
UACAGAGGGUGCGAGCGUUAAUCGGAAUUACUGGGCGUAAAGGGUGCGUAGGCGGGUCUUUAAGUCAGGGGUGAAAUCCUGGAGCUCAACUCCAGAACUGCCUUUGAUACUGAGGAUCUUGAGUCCGGGAGAGGUGAGUGGAACUGCGAGUGUAGAGGUGAAAUUCGUAGAUAUUCGCAAGAACACCAGUGGCGAAGGCGGCUCACUGGCCCGGUACUGACGCUGAGGCACGAAAGCGUGGGGAGCAAACAGG